RNAcentral lists this ribosomal RNA (409 nucleotides) under bacterium. RNAcentral's name for it is "partial 16S ribosomal RNA". It matches the Rfam family "Bacterial small subunit ribosomal RNA", at positions 355 to 776 of the family's 1533-position model. The record is from RNAcentral.
UGGGGAAUAUUGCACAAUGGGCGAAAGCCUGAUGCAGCGACGCCGCGUGAGGGAUGACGGCCUUCGGGUUGUAAACCUCUUUCAGUAGGGACGAAGCGCAAGUGACGGUACCUGCAGAAGAAGCACCGGCUAACUACGUGCCAGCAGCCGCGGUAAUACGUAGGGUGCGAGCGUUGUCCGGAAUUACUGGGCGUAAAGAGCUCGUAGGCGGUUUGUCACGUCGUCUGUGAAAUCCUAGGGCUUAACCCUGGACGUGCAGGCGAUACGGGCUGACUUGAGUACUACAGGGGAGACUGGAAUUUCUGGUGUAGCGGUGGAAUGCACAGAUAUCAGGGAGAACACCGAUGGCGAAGGCAGGUCUCUGGGUAGUAACUGACGCUGAGGAGCGAAAGCAUGGGUAGCGAACAGG